UACGUAGGGUGCGAGCGUUGUCCGGAAUUACUGGGCGUAAAGAGCUCGUAGGUGGUUUGUCGCGUUGUCCGUGAAAACUCACAACUCAAUUGUGGGCGUGCGGGCGAUACGGGCAGACUGGAGUACUGCAGGGGAGACUGGAAUUCCUGGUGUAGCGGUGGAAUGCGCAGAUAUCAGGAGGAACACCGGUGGCGAAGGCGGGUCUCUGGGCAGUAACUGACGCUGAGGAGCGAAAGUGUGGGGAGCGAACAGG
RNAcentral lists this ribosomal RNA (253 nucleotides) under uncultured bacterium. RNAcentral's name for it is "partial 16S ribosomal RNA". It matches the Rfam family "Bacterial small subunit ribosomal RNA", at positions 524 to 776 of the family's 1533-position model. The record is from RNAcentral.